CCUACGGGAGGCAGCAGUGGGGAAUUUUGGACAAUGGGCGCAAGCCUGAUCCAGCCAUGCCGCGUGCGGGAAGAAGGCCUUCGGGUUGUAAACCGCUUUUGUCAGGGAAGAAACGCUCUGGGCUAACACCCCGGGGUAAUGACGGUACCUGAAGAAUAAGCACCGGCUAACUACGUGCCAGCAGCCGCGGUAAUACGUAGGGUGCAAGCGUUAAUCGGAAUUACUGGGCGUAAAGCGUGCGCAGGCGGCUGUGCAAGACAGAUGUGAAAUCCCCGGGCUUAACCUGGGAACUGCACUUGUGACUGCAUAGCUAGAGUACGGCAGAGGGGGAUGGAAUUCCGCGUGUAGCAGUGAAAUGCGUAGAUAUGCGGAGGAACACCGAUGGCGAAGGCAAUCCCCUGGGCCUGUACUGACGCUCAUGCACGAACGACGUGGGAGGACGAACGAGGAGUAGUAUACCUACGGUAGUACCGACCGACCCGUAAACCGAACUAGUACACUAGUUGGUUGGGUAGGGUUCGUUCUCUAGUACGUA
This 535-nucleotide ribosomal RNA is filed under the name uncultured bacterium. Its description in RNAcentral is "bacterial SSU rRNA". It matches the Rfam family "Bacterial small subunit ribosomal RNA", at positions 338 to 850 of the family's 1533-position model. The record is from RNAcentral.